GAGAGAGAGUUGAUGGGGGAUGAAGGGUAUGGGAGUGUAUGCUAUGGCUGCCUGCUGUCAAAGUUCUCCAGGAAUCAGCUGGCUGGAGGAAUUUUGGAAGGGGUGAGGCAUACACUUUCUCCUAUGUUCCUGAAACCACAACAUUGUUAGGACUCAUCUGUUCAUGAGACCAGACCAAUAAAAAAUGAGCACUUCGUGGAUAAAAAACACAGAUGGAAACUUAGUGAAAUGCGGCCUCCAGUGCUGGAGAUGGACCUAAUGGGGAGUGUUUGAGUCAUGAGAGAAUAUCCUUUAUGAAUGGCUUGGUGCGUUCCCUGUGGCCAUGAGUUACUACAAGAUCUGAUUGUUAAAAAAAGAUUCUAGGACUUCCUGUCCCUCUGUCUUGUUCCCUCUUUUACCACGUGACAUGCCUGCUUCCCCUUCACCUUCUGUCAUGAUUAUAAGCUUCCUGAGGUUCCCAUCAGAAGCAGAGUAGAUGCUGGUGUCAUGCUUGUACAGCCCAUGGAGCUGUGAACCAAAUAAACUUCUUUUCUUUAUAAAUUACCUAG
Molecule: long non-coding RNA, 548 nt
Filed under: Pongo abelii (Sumatran orangutan)
Lineage: Eukaryota; Metazoa; Chordata; Mammalia; Primates; Hominidae
Description: lincRNA
Source: RNAcentral